RNAcentral lists this ribosomal RNA (587 nucleotides) under uncultured bacterium. Its description in RNAcentral is "partial 16S ribosomal RNA". It matches the Rfam family "Bacterial small subunit ribosomal RNA", at positions 355 to 1375 of the family's 1533-position model. The record is from RNAcentral.
UGGGGAAUUUUGGACAAUGGGCGAAAGCCUGAUCCAGCAAUGCCGCGUGUGUGAAGAAGGCCUUCGGGUUGUAAAGCACUUUUGUCCGGAAAGAAAUCCUUGGCUCUAAUACAGUCGGGGGAUGACGGUACCGGAAGAAUAAGCACCGGCUAACUACGUGCCAGCAGCCGCGGUAAUACGUAGGGUGCAAGCGUUAAUCGGAAUUACUGGGCGUAAAGCGUGCGCAGGCGGUUUGCUAAGACCGAUGUGAAAUCCCCGGGCUCAACCUGGGAACUGCAUUGGUGACUGGCAGGCUAGAGUAUGGCAGAGGGGGGUAGAAUUCCACGUGUAGCAGUGAAAUGCGUAGAGAUGUGGAGGAAUACCGAUGGCGAAGGCAGCCCCCUGGGCCAAUACUGACGCUCAUGCACGAAAGCGUGGGGAGCAAAACAGGAUUAGAUACCCUGGUAGUCCACGCCCUAAAACGAUGUCAACUAGUUGUUGGGGAUUCAUUUCCUUAGUAACGUAGCUAACGUGUGAAGUUGACCGCCUGGGGAGUACGGUCGCAAGAUUAAAACUCAAAUGAAUUGACGGGGUCAUAGCUGUUUCCU